Long non-coding RNA from Diorhabda sublineata, 2568 nucleotides. RefSeq lists it as uncharacterized. The transcript is spliced from 3 exons. The record is from RefSeq and is a predicted model, not a curated record. Lineage: Eukaryota; Metazoa; Arthropoda; Insecta; Coleoptera; Chrysomelidae.
UGUCAAAAUAGGUUAAUUUAUUAGUAAUAUCUCAAUUUAUCAAGCAAUUUGUAGUCAUGGGAUGGACACUUAUGAGCUUGACAUCAGAGUAUAUAAUCUUUUCUUGACACAUAUACAGGGUGCGGCAGCAUAACUUCCUUUUUUAAAAAGUUCGCCAUUUAGUCGGUAGAUGUCGUAACGGAGUGCUAGUGGUCUCGUUCGAGAGGGGGGACUAUAAAGUUUUGUCCCAGCACAGUUCAGUCGCCAUCAUGCGUUGGAACAGUGAGGAGCGUGCGUUUGCCGUUGAGGUUUACUUUUCGAGCGGAUGUUCUGUGAUCGCAACCCAGCGCGCCUUUCGGAAUCGCUUUAAUUUAGCCCCCUUGGCCCCUGUCCCGGACCGGAAAUCAAUUGUUACGUGGGUCACUACGUUCAGACAAACUGCAAGUGUGACAAGACGAAGAACUGGAGUCCCUCGGCCCAUUAGAUCACCGGAGAACAUUGAGUUAGUUAGAACUUCAGUGUUGCGAUCACCACGGCGUUCUGCGCGCAAACAUGCGUCUGCCCUUGGACUUUCCGAUCGUUCUGUGAGGAGAAUACUUCAUGAUGAUCUUCAUUUUCAUCCAUACAAGAUGGCAAUUGUGCAGGAACUUUCUGAACGUGACUUCAAUUCUCGGAGGAACGCGUGUGAGGUUUUUCUGGAAGUCGUUCCUGAGGACGCUAUUGUUUUUUUUAGUGAUGAAGCCCAUUUUCAUUUGUGUGGAUCCGUAAACAAACAAAACAUGCGCUACUGGGCUGAUACCAAUCCUCGACAAUUGCAUCAACGGCCUUUGCAUUCACCUAAAGUCACAGUGUGGUGUGCAAUUUACUCACGUGGAAUUAUUGGUCCCUGCCGCACCCUGUAGAUUAUAUACACUGGUGCUGAAAUUGUGCAAUUGGAAAGCAACUAUUGUAUGUAUGGAAAUGGUUAUUAAAAAAAAUAAAUAUUUAUUCAUUACGAAAGUAUAUUUCAGAAAGUAUAAAAAUGGGUACCCGAACUUUUUUAAUUCUUUAUUUUACAUUUAAGAAAAUUUGUAUUUUUUCAGUUGUAAUGAUUUUUAUGCCUUUUUCGGAAUUUACUAAAUCAGUUAAGUACAUAUGUGUUUUAAUCAAUUUGAUCCUAUAGAAAGAGUUACCUCAAACCAUUGACAAGAGCUCUAGAACAUAAUGAAAAAUUGAAAUACACUUCAAAGAUCGUUUAAUUGGACCAGAAUCAUUAUUUGCUUGUUAUAAUAAACUGUAUAAUGGAGUACAUGGCUGUGAAAUCAUUAAAUUAACCAAAAAAUAGGUUACCUACUAUGAUGAACCAAUAUGUGGAAGACCUUUAGGAAUAAAAUUUCAUGAUGAGUUGUUAUAUGUUGCUGAUGAAUACUAUGGAAUUUUGACAGUAAAUGUUCAUAAACGCAAGUUUGAAGUGAAGAAAGGUUUCAAAUAACAUUAAAUGGUGAUAUAUACUAGACCAAUACCUCAACUAAUGUAUGAAAUGGUUUCUUUGAAUUCUUAUCUUAUUCAUUUGACAGAUGUAUAUGAAAAGCACCCAGAGAUUGCAAAUGAGCUGAACGUAUGUGAUAAACCUGGGCGGAGUAGAAUAGAGACAGCCAGAAUUACUCAAGGCAAUUGUGAAAUUAGUGAGUCAUGGUGCUUCCACUGAUGCAAGAAGGUGAACUGAAAUUUUGAGCAGGUGUCAUUUUUCUAUCUCAGGAUGAUAAGACAAGAGUGCCAUUGGGGAUCACAGCAGCAAAUGAACAAGCGCCUAUUUUAAAGCACUUGGAUUAUCAGAUCUCAAAAUGCUCUGAGGAAAAUUGCUGUAAACUCGCUAGAAGUGGACUGAAACAAGUUUUGGCAGAUGGGUUUUUGCCGCCGCCGUACCCACUUAUACAAACUUCGACGAAAGUCGAAGUUCUUCAGCCUGGUGUAGAUACACAGAUUUGCUUUGGAGACUUACUAUUGCCAUGCCAUAUUGACAUUAAACCAGAACAUCCAGGAUUCACUAGAAUGCCGUAUGACUAUUUUUGCCCAAGUGUGCAAAAAGGCUUGUUGGCAAGAACUUGCAACUCUUGUGGCUUGUAUUUCGCUACAAAAAAAAUCUCAAAAUUCAUAAGCAAAGCAUACAUGGUUCAUCUGUGUCAUUAUCAGAAAAAGUCAAUCUAUUUUAAAUUAUUGCAAGACGAGGCAAAGAAAUAUUAAUAAAGUAAAAAAGCAGAAUCUGAACACGUCGGGUGGGUGGACGAAGAGACUGUCGAUAUAGAAAAUAUUAAUAUAAUCAAUUAUUAUGAACUUGAGAAAAAUUCUGUUCCAGAAAUUCAUAAUCUUGAAGAGGGGUUGGAAAAUCCUUUUACCGACGAUACGAAAUGAUUUUUAUAAUUGUACUGAUUAAUCUAAAAUGAGUGUAUAACUUAAGAUAUGCCAAAGACAUGUUUAAUAAUCCAAUUUCUAAAAUUUAAUUAUUUUUAAUAAGACAAAAAAUGUAUCAGAGCAAAUAGACAGUCAUAUAAUAUGACAUUAGAUAAUGUAGCUUGCAAUAUUUAAGUUAAAUAAACAUGUAUAAGCAAA